Molecule: long non-coding RNA, 3240 nt
Filed under: Sorghum bicolor (sorghum)
Lineage: Eukaryota; Viridiplantae; Streptophyta; Magnoliopsida; Poales; Poaceae
Description: long non-coding RNA (SBIC_LNC016605)
Source: RNAcentral
GAAUGGGAGUUAUCCAUAAGUGUUGGAAUCAGAUGAUGAAGAGUAGAAGAUAAAAAAUGAAGAUUCUUCUCCGAGGAAUUGCACACAGGGUGAAAAGCAAGUGUAAAAAGAAGGCAAGUGUAACAUGAGUACUCUUUGUUACCUAAUAACUAUUUAAUUAUCUUUUCAUGUACAUAGAUCUAAUAUGAUGAAAUCUUAAGGCCUUUAACUAGUAUCUUUGAUACCCUAUAUCCUUGUUACCUAUGGGUUUACGUAUAUGGAUAACUAUGCUUAGCUUUGCAGUAACCAACUCCAUGUUGACGCAAAUGGAAAUGAAAUCGGAUCACAUCCUAUGUGUUGCCAUAACGUCAACAACUUUAAUUCCUUUACAUUGUGUUACCAAUUCUACAACCAAACAACUUCCCAAUGGUAUCAUGCAUGUCUUGGUUAAUCGAUUAUGCAGUGAUGAAAUUAAUGGUGCUUUUUAGUAAUUAAGGACAAAGAGGGCUAGAGAACUAGGUAAAUACCAACACUUAUAAAGCAACAAUCCAGGACUUAUAAUACAACUACAAGGAUUACAUGGCUCUGGUGCUAUAUUAGCACUUUGAGCUUAUUUAGCUUUUUAGUGGUCACCAAAGGGUGGGGAUGUUAUGUGUGAUGGAGUGUGCCAUGGUGGUAGGGAGUUCCUAUAUCUACUAGAUCAAUCUAAAACCUUGCAGUUACUAACUUAUUAGAGGGACUCUGGUAAAAGCUUGUAGUUAAACUCUAUUGCAUGUUCAUGGAAAUGCGAUAUAGGGUUGAUGGGCCCUUGGCAUAUGGGAAUCAAUAAUCAUGGGUAAAGUUAUACAACCUCUGUAGAGUGUCUUUAAACUGAUAUAUUAGUCAUGCUCUUGCUCAUCAGUGGCAUGUAACCUUUCUGAUUACAUGGUAUUACUUGGAUGAUUUGGUUUAUGAUGAAUAUUGCUAUUAUCUCUAAGCAAUUUAACUUUGGGACUUAAGUAUAACCUAGCAACACAGGUUCUAAUAGUGAAACAUGACCAAGUAAAAGUGCAUAGGCAGUUUAGUCAUAUCUAGCCUUUUGAGCCUUACAUAACCUUGUGUUAUACUUGUUGAGUAUGAUGAUGUUCACACUUGCUUAAUUCAAUAAAAACUUGAAUGGGUACCAGAUGGUGGAAGUUAUAAGUCUUCUAAGGAGUUACACAAAACGCAUGUACCCCAGUCAGCCAUCCCUAUGGUGGAGUCCUACUAUAAAAAAGAUGAAAAAUCGUUCCAUGGUGUAAGUCUUAAUGUAAACAUUAUCAUUAUAUAAUAAACAUUGACUUUAUGUGUCAACCAUCCUCUAUUGGUUGCUAUAUGUGUCUUGCAGACAUGACUAGAUAUACAUAUAGCUAGUGCUUGAUUUUCUUUAGAAAACUAGGUGCUAUAACCAAAGUAAAGAAUCUUAUCUUCUACUCAAUUUAUGAUUUUCAGGAUUUGUUACAUCCUAACAUCCUUUUGAAAUCCGUCAUAGAAAUUUAGCCAAUUAGAUAACUUCAAGAUGCACACGUUUCUUGGACUCCAUCAAAUUAAUAAUGUGACAAACAAUUUUCAUGAUGGAUCUCAUAUCAAUUUCAUCAUCGGUGCUAGAGUGGGUAGCCCUUGGAGAGAUUGUACAAAUCUCCCUAAUAGGAAGGAGCACAUCCUAUCGAAGAAAUGUUGAAUGCUAUGAAAGCAUGUACAAAUUCUAUUUAUUGACACUGAUUACAUGCUCUAUAUUAUAUAUGUUUUGACAUAUGCUAUGUGUAGCUUGCUCAGUAUUCUUAGUCAAGUCGUGGAGCAACUACUAGCUUGCUCAGUAUUCAUAUGCAUGUACUAUGGAAGUUUAAGGCCCACCUUGCAUGGAUUACAUGAUCAUUUGCAUUUUGCUUUGGAUCGUCCUAACCCAUUUGCAUUGCCUCUAGUUUAUUUGAUCUUUGGUAGACCACUUGGACUUGUAAAGCAAAGAUUGCUGCACUAAUUCAUGUGUUGAUAGAAGUCUUUGCCGAUUAAGGCCACUGAACUGGCAGCCCCCAUGUUAUCACUAUCGCAUAGAUGGUAGAGCUGACAACAGUGAUCCUGAUGCUAUUACUGUUAGGACAGCGUUGAACCGAUAGUGAUAUUAGCCUUUUGCCGAGUCAAGAAUUGGCAGUGGCAAGCCAGCCUCAUCAUUGUUGAUUACUCUCUGUCACUCAAACCUAAUUCCGGUAGGGAUAUAAGGAUCUAGUGUAGUGCACAUGUGAUCCUGAUUUUUACUCCCUCAAUUCUAAAUUGUAAUACAUUUUGGUUCUCUAGAUUUAUAACUUUUGCUAUGCACUUAGAGCUAGUAUAAUAAAUGACUACAGGUGGGCUAUAUGUAAGGGUGGAGGAGAGAGAGAAGAGAAGUAGGUUGUAAGCUUAUAAGUGACUGAUGUAGAGAGGCAAGAAAUUUGUGUGAGAGAGAGAUAGGUCAUAGGUAAGUCAACUAUUAUAUAGAUGGGAUGUAAGCGUUCAUACAAACAGCAAAGACUAUAUUAUUGGUCUUGCUCUAAGAUAUAUACUAUGUCUAAAUACGUGUAAAAAUAAAUAUUUCAAGGAAAAUCAAUACAUUUUACAACUUGGAACAUAAAGAAUACAAUACAUCGACUCAUUGUUUUCCUCCUUUACUAAGAUUGUAGUAUAUUGUCCGUGCUAACGCUAUGGAACACAUUAAGUAACUUUUCAUAUAUGCGGAAAUUCAAAUUAUGAAAGGAAAAUAUAUGACAAGUAAUUCUCUCUAUUGUAUUUGAAAACUGAACCUUGGUUUCUCCCUAUUGUUCAAUUUUAGUUCUGUAGAUCUAACAAUGAGUAUAAGUAAUUCAUUGCCUCCUUUACUACUUUCCAGAAAGAAUAGACAAUACAAGGUAAGAUACACCAGAUGUAGUAUGUGUUGUUCUAAGCAUAGAAUGAUAUUGCAAUAGCCAAGAAGAAAACAAUAUAAUGAUAUAUCAAAUACAGUGAUAUUAUCUUGGUUUAAUGUGAUAUUGCAAUAGCCAAGAAGAAAAGAAUGAUAUAUCAUCUGCAGAUACUUUACAGAGCCUGAACUGACUGUUCAUUGUUUUUGCUCAUUAGAUUUUUGCUGACAGAAACAAGCAUGGAAACUAUUUUUGCAUCUCAGCUAAUGUCCAGCUACUUCGACACCGGCAAGUGCAUUCUUUUAGCAAGUGAUUUUUUAGUAAUGGCAAAGCUCAAGAUUACUUGUAUGGCAUUUGUUGCCCAAUCAAAGCA